AAACCAUGGUGGGGACACCUUAAAAUAAUGUCUUUAAAUCUUUCCCAACUCUCAUAAAAUUUCUCAUGUUCUUCCCGAUAAAAUCAGAAAUUUCUCUUCUUAAUGC
Camellia sinensis is the source of this 106-nucleotide small nucleolar RNA. NCBI's taxonomy places the organism in Eukaryota, Viridiplantae, Streptophyta, Magnoliopsida, Ericales, Theaceae. The record is from RefSeq and is a predicted model, not a curated record.